UAGGGAAUCUUCCACAAUGGACGCAAGUCUGAUGGAGCAACGCCGCGUGAGUGAAGAAGGCUUUCGGGUCGUAAAACUCUGUUGUUGGAGAAGAAUGGUCGGCAGAGUAACUGUUGUCGGCGUGACGGUAUCCAACCAGAAAGCCACGGCUAACUACGUGCCAGCAGCCGCGGUAAUACGUAGGUGGCAAGCGUUAUCCGGAUUUAUUGGGCGUAAAGCGAGCGCAGACGGUUUUUUAAGUCUGAUGUGAAAGCCCUCGGCCUAACCGGGGAAGUGCAUCGGAAACUGGGAAACUUGAGUGCAGAAGAGGACAGUGGAACUCCAUGUGUAGCGGUGAAAUGCGUAGAUAUAUGGAAGAACACCAGUGGCGAAGGCGGCUGUCUGGUCUGUAACUGACGCUGAGGCUCGAAAGCAUGGGUAGCGAACAGGAUUAGAUACCCUGGUAGUCCAUGCCGUAAACGAUGAAUGCUAGGUGUUGGAGGGUUUCCGCCCUUCAGUGCCGCAGCUAACGCAUUAAGCAUUCCGCCUGGGGAGUACGACCGCAAGGUUGAAAC
RNAcentral lists this ribosomal RNA (554 nucleotides) under uncultured bacterium. RNAcentral describes it as "partial 16S ribosomal RNA". It matches the Rfam family "Bacterial small subunit ribosomal RNA", at positions 355 to 900 of the family's 1533-position model. The record is from RNAcentral.